Non-coding RNA from Acanthosepion pharaonis, 106 nucleotides. NCBI's taxonomy places the organism in Eukaryota, Metazoa, Mollusca, Cephalopoda, Sepiida, Sepiidae. The record is from the annotation of a GenBank genome assembly.
UGGCCAUAUUCUAUUGAAACACCAGUUCCUAUAUGAUCGCCAAAGUUAAGCAAUGUUGAACUAGGUCAGUACCUAGAUGGAUGACCAGUUGAGAAUACCAGGUGCU